CCUUUUGUAUAAUGGGUCAGCGACUUAUAUUCUGUAGCAAGGUUAACCGAAUAGGGGAGCCGAAGGGAAACCGAGUCUUAACUGGGCGUUAAGUUGCAGGGUAUAGACCCGAAACCCGGUGAUCUAGCCAUGGGCAGGUUGAAGGUUGGGUAACACUAACUGGAGGACCGAACCGACUAAUGUUGAAAAAUUAGCGGAUGACUUGUGGCUGGGGGUGAAAGGCCAAUCAAACCGGGAGAUAGCUGGUUCUCCCCGAAAGCUAUUUAGGUAGCGCCUCGUGAAUUCAUCUCCGGGGGUAGAGCACUGUUUCGGCAAGGGGGUCAUCCCGACUUACCAACCCGAUGCAAACUGCGAAUACCGGAGAAUGUUAUCACGGGAGACACACGGCGGGUGCUAACGUCCGUCGUGAAGAGGGAAACAACCCAGACCGCCAGCUAAGGUCCCAAAGUCAUGGUUAAGUGGGAAACGAUGUGGGAAGGCCCAGACAGCCAGGAUGUUGGCUUAGAAGCAGCCAUCAUUUAAAGAAAGCGUAAUAGCUCACUGGUCGAGUCGGCCUGCGCGGAAGAUGUAACGGGGCUAAACCAUGCACCGAAGCUGCGGCAGCGACGCUGAUGCGUUGUUGGGUAGGGGAGCGUUCUGUAAGCCUGCGAAGGUGUGCUGUGAGGCAUGCUGGAGGUAUCAGAAGUGCGAAUGCUGACAUAAGUAACGAUAAAGCGGGUGAAAAGCCCGCUCGCCGGAAGACCAAGGGUUCCUGUCCAACGUUAAUCGGGGCAGGGUGAGUCGACCCCUAAGGCGAGGCCGAAAGGCGUAGUCGAUGGGAAACAGGUUAAUAUUCCUGUACUUGGUGUUACUGCGAAGGGGGGACGGAGAAGGCUAUGUUGGCCGGGCGACGGUUGUCCCGGUUUAAGCGUGUAGGCUGGUUUUCCAGGCAAAUCCGGAAAAUCAAGGCUGAGGCGUGAUGACGAGGCACUACGGUGCUGAAGCAACAAAUGCCCUGCUUCCAGGAAAAGCCUCUAAGCAUCAGGUAACAUCAAAUCGUACCCCAAACCGACACAGGUGGUCAGGUAGAGAAUACCAAGGCGCUUGAGAGAACUCGGGUGAAGGAACUAGGCAAAAUGGUGCCGUAACUUCGGGAGAAGGCACGCUGAUAUGUAGGUGAAGCGACUUGCUCGUGGAGCUGAAAUCAGUCGAAGAUACCAGCUGGCUGCAACUGUUUAUUAAAAACACAGCACUGUGCAAACACGAAAGUGGACGUAUACGGUGUGACGCCUGCCCGGUGCCGGAAGGUUAAUUGAUGGGGUUAGCGCAAGCGAAGCUCUUGAUCGAAGCCCCGGUAAACGGCGGCCGUAACUAUAACGGUCCUAAGGUAGCGAAAUUCCUUGUCGGGUAAGUUCCGACCUGCACGAAUGGCGUAAUGAUGGCCAGGCUGUCUCCACCCGAGACUCAGUGAAAUUGAACUCGCUGUGAAGAUGCAGUGUACCCGCGGCAAGACGGAAAGACCCCGUGAACCUUUACUAUAGCUUGACACUGAACAUUGAGCCUUGAUG
RNAcentral lists this ribosomal RNA (1547 nucleotides) under Escherichia coli. RNAcentral describes it as "partial 23S ribosomal RNA". It matches the Rfam family "Bacterial large subunit ribosomal RNA", at positions 604 to 2136 of the family's 2925-position model. Lineage: Bacteria; Pseudomonadati; Pseudomonadota; Gammaproteobacteria; Enterobacterales; Enterobacteriaceae. The record is from RNAcentral.